AACUGACCGCUAAGGGCGCGAAAGGCGUGGGGAGCCAAACCAGGAUUAGAUACCCCUGGUAGUCCCACCGCUGUAAACGAUGAACACUAGGUGUUGGUUUGCCCGCAGGCUGAUCCAGUGCCGCCAGUUAACCGCAUUAAGUGUUCCCGCCUGGGGAGUACCGAUCCGCAAGGUUGAAACUCCAAAGGAAUUGACGGGGGCCCGCACAAGCCGGUGGAGCCAUGUGGUUUAAUUCGAUGCAACGCGAAGAACCUUACCGGGGUUUGACAUCAUAGCGGAGUUUGCAGAGAUGUAAACGUUCUUCGGAACGCUAUGACAGGUGCUGCAUGGCUGUCGUCAGCUCGUGUCGUGAGAUGUUGGGUUAAGUCCCGCAACGAGCGCAACCCUUGCCCCUAGUUGCCAGCGAGUAAAGUCGGGGACUCUAGGGGGACAGUCGGCGAUAAGCCGGAGGAAGGUGGGGAUGACGUCAAGUCCUCAUGGCCCUUACAUCCCGGGCUACAC
Molecule: ribosomal RNA, 501 nt
Filed under: uncultured bacterium
Lineage: Bacteria
Description: bacterial SSU rRNA
Rfam family: Bacterial small subunit ribosomal RNA
Source: RNAcentral